CAAUAGCGUAUAUUAAAGUUGUUGCGGUUAAAAAGCUCGUAGUCGGAUCUCGGCAGGCAGGGGGUGGUUCGCUCUUAGCGCUACUGCCCCAUUUGCCUGUGUGAUUGGCGGAGGUUUCGGGGUGCUCUUCGUUGAGUGACCCGGGGCGCCGUCAGGUUUACUUUGAAAAAAUUAGAGUGCUCAAAGCAGGCUUUUCACGCUUGAAUAUUCGUGCAUGGAAUAAUGGAAUAGGAACUCGUUUCUAUUUUGUUGGUUUUCGGAAAUCGAGUUAAUGAUUAAUAGGGACAAUUGGGGGCAUUAGUAUUCAGACGACAGAGGUGAAAUUCUUGGACCGUCUGAAGACUAACUACUGCGAAAGCAUUUGCCAAGAGUGUUUUCAUUAA
This 383-nucleotide ribosomal RNA is filed under the name uncultured eukaryote. Its description in RNAcentral is "partial 18S ribosomal RNA". It matches the Rfam family "Eukaryotic small subunit ribosomal RNA", at positions 592 to 976 of the family's 1831-position model. The record is from RNAcentral.